RNAcentral lists this ribosomal RNA (301 nucleotides) under uncultured bacterium. RNAcentral's name for it is "partial 16S ribosomal RNA". It matches the Rfam family "Bacterial small subunit ribosomal RNA", at positions 509 to 807 of the family's 1533-position model. The record is from RNAcentral.
CAGCCGCCGCGGUAAUACAGAGGGUGCGAGCGUUAAUCGGAUUUACUGGGCGUAAAGCGUGCGUAGGCGGCUUCUUAAGUCGGAUGUGAAAUCCCUGAGCUUAACUUAGGAAUUGCAUUCGAUACUGGGAAGCUAGAGUAUGGGAGAGGAUGGUAGAAUUCCAGGUGUAGCGGUGAAAUGCGUAGAGAUCUGGAGGAAUACCGAUGGCGAAGGCAGCCAUCUGGCCUAAUACUGACGCUGAGGUACGAAAGCAUGGGGAGCAAACAGGAUUAGAGACCCGUGUAGUCCCUGUCUCUUAUAC